RNAcentral lists this transfer RNA (69 nucleotides) under Ovis aries (sheep). It matches the Rfam family "tRNA". From Rfam's summary of the family: Transfer RNA (tRNA) molecules are approximately 80 nucleotides in length. Lineage: Eukaryota; Metazoa; Chordata; Mammalia; Artiodactyla; Bovidae. The record is from Rfam by way of RNAcentral.
CCCGAUGGCUCAGUGGGUGAAGAAUCUGCCUGCAAUGCAGGAGAUGCAGGUUCGAUCCCUGUGUCAGGA